CCAUAUACGACCGUACCGCAAACCGACACUGGUGCGCGAGAUGAGUAUUCUAAGGCGCUUGAGAGAACUCAGGAGAAGGAACUCGGCAAAUUGACACCGUAACUUCGGAAGAAGGUGUGCCCUAUUAGUGUGUAGUGAACAACGAAGCAUGAAUGGGUUGCAAAAAAUCGGUGGCUGCGACUGUUUAUUAAAAACACAGCACUCUGCAAACACGAAAGUGGACGUAUAGGGUGUGACGCCUGCCCGGUGCUGGAAGAUUAAAUGAUGGGGUGCAAGCUCUUGAUUGAAGUCCCAGUAAACGGCGGCCGUAACGAUAACGGUCCUAAGGUAGCGAAAUUCCUUGUCGGGUAAGUUCCGACCUGCACGAAUGGCGUAACGAUGGCCACACUGUCUCCUCCUGAGACUCAGCGAAGUUGAAAUGUUUGUGAUGAUGCAAUCUCCCCGCGGAAAGACGGAAAGACCCCAUGAACCUUUACUGUAGCUUUGUAUUGGACUUUGAACAGAUCUGUGUAGGAUAGGUGGGAGGCUUUGAAGCAGGGUCGCUAGAUCUUGUGGAGCCAACGUUGAAAUACCACCCUGGUGUGUUUGAGGUUCUAACCUAGGUCCAUUAUCUGGAUCGGGGACAGUGCAUGGUAGGCAGUUUGACUGGGGCGGUCUCCUCCCAAAGCGUAACGGAGGAGUUCGAAGGUACGCUAGUUACGGUCGGACAUCGUGACGAUAGUGCAAUGGCAUAAGCGUGCUUAACUGCGAGACUGACAAGUCGAGCAGAUGCGAAAGCAGGACAUAGUGAUCCGGUGGUUCUGUAUGGAAGGGCCAUCGCUCAACGGAUAAAAGGUACUCUGGGGAUAACAGGCUGAUACCGCCCAAGAGUUCAUAUCGACGGCGGUGUUUGGCACCUCGAUGUCGGCUCAUCUCAUCCUGGGGCUGUAGCCGGUCCCAAGGGUAUGGCUGUUCGCCAUUUAAAGAGGUACGUGAGCUGGGUUUAAAACGUCGUGAGACAGUUUGGUCCCUAUCUUCCGUGGGCGCUGCAGAUUUGAGGAAGCCUGCUCCUAGUACGAGAGGACCGGAGUGGACACACCUCUGGUGUAUCGGUUGUCACGCCAGUGGCAUUGCCGAGUAGCUAAGUGUGGAAGAGAUAACCGCUGAAAGCAUCUAAGCGGGAAACUCGUUUCAAGAUGAGAUCUGCCGGGGCCUUGAGCCCCCUAAAGAGUCGUUCAAGACCAGGACGUUGAUAGGUCAGGUGUGGAAGCG
This 1251-nucleotide ribosomal RNA is filed under the name metagenome. RNAcentral describes it as "bacterial LSU rRNA". It matches the Rfam family "Bacterial large subunit ribosomal RNA", at positions 1632 to 2875 of the family's 2925-position model. The record is from RNAcentral.